ACAACUGGCAGCUGCACAACACCUUGGCUAUCAAGAAUAAACUGCUUCAAUUGCCAACAGAGUUUGGAGAAAUCUGCAGAAUAUUAGGAUUGUCUGUUGCCUCCAAAGCAGUGUGACUGUCUCUGUAACUUGGCCAAUCAGAAAAGCAAAGCAAGAAAAACCUGAAAAAAUUUACAUGAACUGAUGCUGAGUAAAACAAGCAGAACCAGGAAUGCAUUGUACAUAGCAACAGCAAGAAUGUGAGAUAAUCAACUAUGAAAGACUUGGUUCUUCUCAGUGCUUCAAUGAUUCAAAACAACCCCAAU
This 305-nucleotide long non-coding RNA is filed under the name Sarcophilus harrisii (Tasmanian devil). Its description in RNAcentral is "lncRNA (ENSSHAG00000028285.1)". The record is from RNAcentral. Lineage: Eukaryota; Metazoa; Chordata; Mammalia; Dasyuromorphia; Dasyuridae.